ACGUCACGAGCGCAGGACACACCUUUGGAGAAUCCGGGAAAUUUACAGACAGCUCACUCGAGGGGUGUACAAAAGGGAGGAACCAUUGAAAGCCGGCACAGAACUCAUGAAAAUAAACGAUUGGAGUGUGACUACGUUGAGGAGAAAAUGCAAAAUGAUAAAAUUAGUAACAGUAUUUUGAUACCAGUGUAAGUAGUGUUGAAGAAGUGCCAGGUGAUGUGGUGUAGUGGCAAAGUCAGUAGAACUUAACCAGCAAGGCUACCAAAUAAAUUCCAAUUUAAAAUGAUCCUAACUUACAUGUCUUUCGAAGGUUGAAAAAAAAAAAAUAAUGGGGAAAUUGGUUAAAUCGCCAAACGACUAUCGGAUGAACAUACAAACUCCACACAGACUGUACAGUACUAAGGCUGGUAUUCAAACCCAGGUUCCUGGAGCUGCGGGACAACAGCAUUAACCACUGUGCCACUUAUCUGAACCCAUAUAUUUUUCAGUUAAGGACAGCAGUGAGUCAAAGCAUAUUCUGACAACAUCAAGUUUAAGGCAGUUAUUCAUUCUGAUCAGGCCACAAGACAUCUUGCACACACCCACGCUAAAUUAACACUGUAAAAUUACAAAAUAAAAUACAGCAAACAGAACAAUUAAGCAAUCACAAUUUUUAUUUUUUAUAUUAUUAAUUGUGGCUUAAGGUCUAGGUGUUGGAUUUCAAAACAAGAAGUCUGCCAGUUCAGUUCCUGCCUCCAACUUGCUUAACCUGCCUGGGCUUCAAAAGUUAAAAAUGUAAGAAAAUUCUAUGGAUUAGUGAUCUUUUAAGUCACCUUGGUUAAAGCUGCAAGAGUAAUGGCCAUGGGAGUUUAACCUGACAGCACUGGAUGCAAAUGAGUUGCCUGUUAAUCUAAUUUAAAUGCCUUUUGAAAUCUGCAAGAACCUGUAAGGAUACAGGAGGUACAUGGAAACUCGGCAUAGACAGUAAUAAUCUAUAUAUAUAAUUCACUAAGGCAAGACAACCAU
Long non-coding RNA from Polypterus senegalus (gray bichir), 1005 nucleotides. RefSeq lists it as uncharacterized. The transcript has 3 exons. Lineage: Eukaryota; Metazoa; Chordata; Cladistia; Polypteriformes; Polypteridae. The record is from RefSeq and is a predicted model, not a curated record.